AGUGACAGAGCUACCGCCUGUCACAAGCGUGAGUCAGAAUUAAAACAAAUGAAGAAAGAAGUGAAUUGCCAAGUUAUUGAAAGUUUACAAUCUAGUUUACUAGCUAAAAUAUUUUAUAAAUCUUAGUGAACUAUAUGAAAUUGAAAGGUAAUCCUAUGAAUUAUGAACUUAUACAAACUGCUGAUAAAUUAAUGCUAUUUAGACUAAGACUAUUGACGACACGAACUUACGUAAUCAGCACACCGAGACUGUUAACCUAUAUCUAAUCUUGUAUCGAAUCCGCUUACCCACUAAAAACCAACAAGGUUGACCCAAUCACCGGAGCUAAAAUACGAUAGGGAAACUAAACGUAAGUUGACUAUUUACUAUUCUAAUGUGGAUUUCAUUGCCUGAAUCAGUGAAUCUAAAACUAUUUAUACUACAACUAUGCGCUAAAUCGAGUUAUUAACAAUUCCGUUCUUAAACUUUGUGUUAUUCCAUGCAGGGAAUUUAUAAACUCCCAAUAAAAGAGCCGUGAAUACAAAUUGCUCUGGAGCUUACAGAUUCGAAAAAUCCCCCUAUCAGUCCGGUAAAACGCUAGUCGAAGCGAAUUUCGACAAUGAUGUUCGCGUCGAAUCCGGUUGGUACAAGAAAGCGUGGAGCACAGCGAGCGAGGUGGUUUGAUCAAGUGCAACAAGAUCUGGAGAGCGUGGGUUGAAAUCGAAGUUGGAGGGACAAAGCCAUAUACCGUGACAUGCUCUAUUACCGUGAGGUUAAAAAAAUUCAAGUUUCAAUCGAUCAGAUAAAAAUAACGUAUGAUUAUGUUCAAGUCUUUUAUGUUUUAUAUAGUAGACCGUUUUAUAUACUUUGCAUAAAAAAUAUGAUUUGAACCAUUUUGAAAAUUUUAACCAUAGUUACAGUUGAUGUUGUUAAACAUACCAGUGUUCCAAAUACCGUGCAUCUGACCCCGACUGCUGAGUCACAUUUUGAAACAUCUCUCAAUUGAACGAAC
Aedes aegypti (yellow fever mosquito) is the source of this 991-nucleotide long non-coding RNA. RefSeq lists it as uncharacterized. The record is from RefSeq and is a predicted model, not a curated record. NCBI's taxonomy places the organism in Eukaryota, Metazoa, Arthropoda, Insecta, Diptera, Culicidae. The transcript is spliced from 2 exons.